AAAGGAAUUGACGGGACCGUACAAGCGGUGGAUGAUGUGGUUUAAUUCGAUGCAACGCGAAAACUUACCCACCUUGACAUGUACGGAAGCCUUUAGAGAUAGAGGCGUGCUCGAAAGAGAGCCGUAACACAGGUGCUGCAUGGCUGUCGUCAGCUCGUGUCGUGAGAUGUUGGGUUAAGUCCCGCAACGAGCGCAACCCUUGUCAUUAGUUGCUACAUUCAGUUGGGCACUCUAAUGAGACUGCCGGUGACAAGCCGGAGGAAGGUGGGGAUGACGUCAAGUCCUCAUGGCCCUUAUAGGUGGGGCUACACACGUCAUACAAUGGCUGGUACAAAGGGUUGCCAACCCGCGAGGGGGAGCUAAUCCCAUAAAGCCAGUCGUAGUCCGGAUCGUAGUCUGCAACUCGACUACGUGAAGUCGGAAUCGCUAGUAAUCGUGGAUCAGAAUGUCACGGUGAAUACGUUCCCGGGUCUU
This 474-nucleotide ribosomal RNA is filed under the name uncultured Rhodoferax sp. Its description in RNAcentral is "bacterial SSU rRNA". It matches the Rfam family "Bacterial small subunit ribosomal RNA", at positions 903 to 1382 of the family's 1533-position model. The record is from RNAcentral. Lineage: Bacteria; Pseudomonadati; Pseudomonadota; Betaproteobacteria; Burkholderiales; Comamonadaceae.